Molecule: ribosomal RNA, 172 nt
Filed under: uncultured bacterium
Lineage: Bacteria
Description: partial 16S ribosomal RNA
Rfam family: Bacterial small subunit ribosomal RNA
Source: RNAcentral
ACUCCUACGGAAGGCAGCAGUGGGGAAUAUUGGACAAUGGGCGAAAGCCUGAUCCAGCCAUGCCGCGUGAGUGAUGACGGCCUUAGGGUUGUAAAGCUCUUUCGCCAGGGACGAUAAUGACGGUACCUGGAUAAGAAGCCCCGGCUAACUUCGUGCCAGCAGCCGCGGUAAU